CCUACGGGUGGCAGCAGUAGGGAAUAUUGCUCAAUGGGGGAAACCCUGAAGCAGCAACGCCGCGUGGAGGAUGAAGGUUUUCGGAUUGUAAACUCCUUUUGUUAGAGAGGAUAAUGACGGUAUCUAACGAAUAAGCACCGGCUAACUCCGUGCCAGCAGCCGCGGUAAUACGGAGGGUGCAAGCGUUACUCGGAAUCACUGGGCGUAAAGAGCGCGUAGGCGGGUUAGCAAGUCAGAUGUGAAAUCCUAUGGCUUAACCAUAGAACUGCAUUUGAAACUGUUAUUCUAGAGUAUGGGAGAGGUAGGUGGAAUGCUUGGUGUAGGGGUAAAAUGCGUAGAGAUCAAGAGGAAUACUCAUUGCGAAGGCGACCUGCUAGAACAUAACUGACGCUGAGGCGCGAAAGCGUGGGGAGCAAACAGGAUUAGAUACCCCUGUAGUC
Molecule: ribosomal RNA, 440 nt
Filed under: uncultured bacterium
Lineage: Bacteria
Description: partial 16S ribosomal RNA
Rfam family: Bacterial small subunit ribosomal RNA
Source: RNAcentral